AGUUUGUUAAAUAUGUUUUAAUACUAAUUACUGUACACUUUGUGUAAUACUUAUAACUGUGGCUGGAAAAUUGUUAAUUUUAUAUUAUAAUUUCAUUGCUUAUACAUUCAAACUAUUUGAUUAGUUAUUUAAAUGUUAACUCUUUAGAGAAGUAGGCUUAACAAUAGUAAUAAACUAAAUAGUAUACUGUAUAGUAUUCUAUUUCUAGUAAUGAUUAACUUUGUAAAUCGCAAUAUAUUGCCGUUGUAAUACAUUACGAGACGAUAUUGUGUUUAUAUUUUGAGAAUUCAUUGAUUAUACACAAAGGAAAAGAAAAUACUUAAUAAUUUUAGUCAUUGCAAAUUCCAUUGUGAGUUUGAGUAUAAGUAUAACUUAAGUUACGACAGUGAAUAACAGUAACACUAACAAUAUACUUUUUUUUUAACUUUUACUCUGUUUUAGGCAUUGAAAUCUGUUAUUCAUGUAAGGUGUAAGAUAAUCAUGAAGGACUAUAAACUAAAAUCUAUAUUCAUAGUAGCGAGACUGUAAGUUGUAACACUCAAUAUUGCAACUAAACAUUAAGUCGUAAUGAAUCAUUAAAUGAUUAAUGUUUAUUACAACUUAUAAGUGUUAGUAAUAUCGAGCUUACUCGGUUUUGUAAGGCCUAACUAAAAAGCUGUUACUGUUAGUUGUAUGUAAGUUUAAGUGUGGUUUUAGGCUUAAUUUUCUGUUCUACAUAUAUUAAUUAUAGAUUAGUGUAUUCAGAAAAGCGAUUUUUAAGUUACUGUCAACUGUAAAAAAAAAAAAUACUGUUGCUGGUCAACUGGUAAGUUAGCAUGCUACUCUUACUAAUACUUUGAGUUUGAGUAGGACUGCUGCAGUGCUAGUACUAAUAGAAAUUAGUAUGGCAUACCUAUGAAGUAAUAAAUUUUCUUUGGUGGAAUUUGGUGUAGUCUUAAGUGUAAGUCCUAAAAGAGGGUUAAAAUUCAACUGCAAAUAAUGAAGAAAUGAAAACUUAUCUUAGGUAAAAAAGUUAUUUAGAUUUCUUAUUUUUUGAGGCAGGUACGAGGUCGAUCAAAUUGACCAAGCCUGUAUAGUAAUGGUAGAGAAAAUAACCAGUAUAAAGUUUCACAGAAAAAAAACAACUAAUGUUUAUUUAGGAGGUUCUUUAGGUUAGGCAACUGCUAAAAAGUGGUUUAAUCUUAAGAUGAAAAUUGCCUUGCAUUCACAAUAGUUUGAGUCAGACUGACUAUAUAAAUUCAUAGAUAAAUCUUUGUUUAAUAUACUUAAUGAAAAAAUUGGAUAUUUUGUGUACAAGAUACUUGAAAUGUUUACUAAAAGCCUGCCAAAUUUUCUGAAGAUCCACUUACUGCAUUAAAAGUUACAGUAUUUAUACUUCCAUGGUUACCUAUUUGUUACAUGGUUGUCACAAGGUUAAAAUGACUAACGCUGUAUCGAUAGAGUUAAAGCAUUUUAUUUUAUUUUUUACGUCAUAUUCUCGAGUAGAGUGAAUGAGUUAUGGAAAGAGUUGCUGUUGGCGGUAGUUGAGGCACAUACUGUACAGGAGUUUACUUGGGCAACCUUGAAGGACCAAAUGGCCCAUUGCUGUCUGACAUUUGAAGGCUGAAGUUUCGUCUCGUACGCAACGAAAAGACAAUCUUUUUCGAUGUUCUCUCUGUUCCCGUAGUUUUAACCGUAAAGGUAAUUUAUCGAGACAUAUGGUGUUACAUUCGCCCGCGAGCAGAAAAUUCACGUGUCAGAUUUGUGGAGUGGAAUUUUUCUGGAGGCAUCACCUUGUCAGACAUUGGAGGUACAAUCACCCUGAACAAUCAUCAUUGAUACCGGAGUCAUCACGUUACGAUGGGUGGAAGACGGAGAGGUAGACCACCACGCGCUGCACACUUAUCUCGUGAGCCGGGCCUCGUCUGUCCUAUCUGCAAGACCAGUUAUACCAACAAGACCAUCCUCAGGAAUCAUAUGAACAUGCAUCGACCCCAGCGACAAGUCUACCACUGUGAAAUCUGCAACAAGGGCUUCUAUUGGCAGACAAAUGUGUAUGCUCACAAACGAAUGACUAUUACGUGCACCAAACAGCGCCAUCUUCAAAUAAGAGCGUAACUUCUGACCUGGUAUGCCCUAUAUGUAGCAAGAGAUAUUCAAACAAGUCCAACUUGAUUCAGCACAUGGCUAUUCACAGACCUCAAAGAAAGAAGUUUUACUGCGACAUCUGCUUCAAGUCAUUUCUAUGGUCGAACAGUAGAAAUGCUCACAAAAGGAACGUUCACGGAGUGUUUUAAUUAUUAUAGUUUAAUAAUAUUAUAUUAAGAAACACCCAAGAAUUUGUUACUAUUAUUCUUUGGUCCCACUAGACUGUUAUUUUUGAUUCCAUGGAAUAAAAACAUUUCUUUAAACUUCGUACUUGGCGGUUUUGUUUGUUUUAGUAUGAAGCUACACAAUGGAUUAUCUGCGCGGGAAUCGAAUUCUGAAUUGUCUCAAUUCUUAAUUUAAUAUAAUAUCCUAAGAGAUAAACUCGUGCUUCGCGUACAAUGUAUGAACUAAGAUUAUUUCACUGCUGAAACAUUAGUUAGGAAAAAAAUUGAUAUAAACGUGAUUGAAUUCUCAA
This is a long non-coding RNA of Limulus polyphemus (Atlantic horseshoe crab), 2602 nucleotides long. RefSeq lists it as uncharacterized. The record is from RefSeq and is a predicted model, not a curated record. NCBI's taxonomy places the organism in Eukaryota, Metazoa, Arthropoda, Merostomata, Xiphosura, Limulidae. The transcript has 4 exons.